This 120-nucleotide microRNA precursor is filed under the name Podarcis lilfordi (Lilford's wall lizard). The record is from RNAcentral. Lineage: Eukaryota; Metazoa; Chordata; Lepidosauria; Squamata; Lacertidae.
GAGAAGAAGGCAAAGUCAGGGGUUUCUCUCUCUCUCUCUCUCUCUCUCUCUGUGUGUGUGUGUGUGUGAGAGAGAGAGAGAGAGAGAGAGAGAGAGAGAAUCCGCCUCUUGCAAGAUUUU